CCUACGGGUGGCAGCAGUGAGGAAUAUUGGUCAAUGGACGAGAGUCUGAACCAGCCAAGUAGCGUGAAGGAUGACUGCCCUAUGGGUUGUAAACUUCUUUUAUAUGGGAAUAAAACGUUCCAUGGGUGGGCUUUUGUAUGUACCAUAUGAAUAAGGAUCGGCUAACUCCGUGCCAGCAGCCGCGGUAAUACGGAGGAUCCGAGCGUUAUCCGGAUUUAUUGGGUUUAAAGGGUGCGUAGGUGGAUUGUUAAGUCAGUUGUGAAAGUGCGCGGCUCAACCGUAAGAUUGCAGUUGAAACUGGCAGUCUUGAGUACAGGAGAGGUGGGCGGAAUGCGUGGUGUAGCGGUGAAAUGCUUAGAUAUCGCGAAGAACUCCGAUUGCGAAGGCAGCUCACUGGACUGCAACUGACACUGAGGCUCGAAAGUGUGGGUAUCAAACAGGAUUAGAUACCCUUGUAGUC
Molecule: ribosomal RNA, 460 nt
Filed under: uncultured bacterium
Lineage: Bacteria
Description: partial 16S ribosomal RNA
Rfam family: Bacterial small subunit ribosomal RNA
Source: RNAcentral